AUUGAACGCUGGCGGCAUGCCUUACACAUGCAAGUCGAACGGCAGCACGGGAGCAAUCCUGGUGGCGAGUGGCGAACGGGUGAGUAAUGUAUCGGAACGUACCUUUCAGUGGGGGAUAACGUAGCGAAAGUUACGCUAAUACCGCAUAUUCUGUGAGCAGGAAAGCAGGGGAUCGCAAGACCUUGCGCUGAUUGAGCGGCCGAUAUCAGAUUAGCUAGUUGGUGAGGUAAAGGCUCACCAAGGCGACGAUCUGUAGCGGGUCUGAGAGGAUGAUCCGCCGCACUGGAACUGAGACACGGUCCAGACUCCUACGGGAGGCAGCAGUGGGGAAUUUUGGACAAUGGGCGCAAGCCUGAUCCAGCCAUGCCGCGUGAGUGAAGAAGGCCUC
RNAcentral lists this ribosomal RNA (388 nucleotides) under uncultured bacterium. RNAcentral's name for it is "bacterial SSU rRNA". It matches the Rfam family "Bacterial small subunit ribosomal RNA", at positions 30 to 418 of the family's 1533-position model. The record is from RNAcentral.